RNAcentral lists this ribosomal RNA (656 nucleotides) under uncultured bacterium. Its description in RNAcentral is "bacterial SSU rRNA". It matches the Rfam family "Bacterial small subunit ribosomal RNA", at positions 8 to 678 of the family's 1533-position model. The record is from RNAcentral.
AGAGUUUGAUCCUGGCUCAGGACGAACGCUGGCGGCGUGCUUAACACAUGCAAGUCGAGCGAUGAAGUUUCUUCGGAAAUGGAUUAGCGGCGAACGGGUGAGGAACACGUGAAGAAUCUGCCCUCCACUUUGGGAUAACACCGGGAAACCGGUGCUAAUACCGAAUAUUGAAACAUAAGUGGCAUCACUGAGUUCUGAAAGAAUUUCGGUGGAGGAUGACUUCGCGGCCUAUCAGCUAGUUGGUGAGGUAAUGGCUCACCAAGGCAACGACGGGUAGCCGGCCUGAGAGGGCGACCGGCCACACUGGGACUGAGACACGGCCCAGACUCCUACGGGAGGCAGCAGUGGGGAAUAUUGGGCAAUGGAGGAAAUUCUGACCCAGCGACGCCGCGUGCGGGAUGAAGGCCUUCGGGUUGUAAACCGCUUUCAGUAGGGAAGAAGCGAAAGUGACGGUACCUACAAAAGAAGCACCGGCUAACUAUGUGCCAGCAGCCGCGGUAAUACAUAGGGUGCAAGCGUUGUCCGGAAUUAUUGGGCGUAAAGAGCUCGUAGGUCGUUUGUUACGUCGGAUGUGAAAACCUGAGGCUCAACCUCAGGCCUGCAUUCGAUACGGGCAAACUAGAGUUUGGUAGGGGAGACUGGAAUUCCUGGUGUAG